CCUAUUUACACUAAGGAAAACUGGAGAUAAACAAACAGAACUGAUUGGUGGAUCAGAUGUAUAUAUGCCUGUGUGUCGGAAGCAUUAUUUGGAUGGCCAGAUUGUUAUCGGAGCUGCAAAGAUUGUGAUGGAAUCCGGGAAGAUGGUGUCUAACUUCUGAAUCAGCUGCUUCUUCGUGUGAAGUGUAGGUUUUAUUUAUCAAUCUGGUGUUGUGGG
RNAcentral lists this unclassified non-coding RNA (216 nucleotides) under Hevea brasiliensis (rubber tree). Lineage: Eukaryota; Viridiplantae; Streptophyta; Magnoliopsida; Malpighiales; Euphorbiaceae. The record is from RNAcentral.